This is a non-coding RNA of Phanerochaete sordida, 74 nucleotides long. The record is from the annotation of a GenBank genome assembly. Lineage: Eukaryota; Fungi; Basidiomycota; Agaricomycetes; Polyporales; Phanerochaetaceae.
GGUUCGAUGGUGUAGUUGGUUAUCACAUCUGUCUCACACACAGGAGGCCCUGGGUUCGAGCCCCAGUCGAACCA